RNAcentral lists this non-coding RNA (21 nucleotides) under Rattus norvegicus (Norway rat). The record is from RNAcentral. Lineage: Eukaryota; Metazoa; Chordata; Mammalia; Rodentia; Muridae.
UGAGUUCCGAGGGACUUGCUU